CGUGUAGGCGGCCUCGUAAGUCAGAUGUGAAAGCCCUUGGCUUAACCAAGGAAGUGCAUUUGAAACUGCUUGGCUUGAGUACGGGAGGGGAAAGCGGAAUUCCCGGUGUAGAGGUGAAAUUCGUAGAUAUCGGGAGGAACACCGGUGGCGAAGGCGGCUUUCUGGACCGAUACUGACGCUGAGACGCGAAAGCGUGGGGAGCAAACA
This 207-nucleotide ribosomal RNA is filed under the name uncultured bacterium. Its description in RNAcentral is "partial 16S ribosomal RNA". It matches the Rfam family "Bacterial small subunit ribosomal RNA", at positions 568 to 774 of the family's 1533-position model. The record is from RNAcentral.